RNAcentral lists this small nuclear RNA (174 nucleotides) under Otolemur garnettii (small-eared galago). RNAcentral describes it as "U2 spliceosomal RNA". It matches the Rfam family "U2 spliceosomal RNA". From Rfam's summary of the family: U2 is a small nuclear RNA (snRNA) component of the spliceosome (involved in pre-mRNA splicing). The record is from Rfam by way of RNAcentral. Lineage: Eukaryota; Metazoa; Chordata; Mammalia; Primates; Galagidae.
AUCACUUCUCAGAUUUUGGGCUAAGAUCAAGUAUAAUAUCUGUUCUUAACAGUUGAAGAUGCCAAUAUGUAAUUAAAUUUCAUCUAUUUACUGAUAUAAAUUUUCACUGGAAUAGGGCCCUAUCCCAUGAAGAUUAUGUUCUAGGGUAGAAAUACUAACAGUGAACAAGUGUGU